CAGUAGCCACGGUAAUGCGUAGGUGGCAAGCGUUGUCCGGAAUUAUUGGGCGUAAAGGGCUCGCAGGCGGUUUCUUAAGUCUGAUGUGAAAGCCCCCGGCUCAACCGGGGAGGGUCAUUGGAAACUGGGAAACUUGAGUACAGAAGAGGAGAGUGGAAUUCCACGUGUAGCGGUGAAAUGCGUAGAGAUGUGGAGGAACACCAGUGGCGAAGGCGACUCUCUGGUCUGUAACUGACGCUGAGGAGCGAAAGCGUGAGGAGCGAACAGGAUUAGAUACCCCUGUAGUCCCUGUCUCUUUACA
Molecule: ribosomal RNA, 301 nt
Filed under: uncultured bacterium
Lineage: Bacteria
Description: partial 16S ribosomal RNA
Rfam family: Bacterial small subunit ribosomal RNA
Source: RNAcentral